UACGUAGGGGGCAAGCGUUGUCCGGAAUCAUUGGGCGUAAAGAGCGUGUCGGCGGCUCGAUAAGUCAGCUGUGAAAUCUCCGAGCUUAACUCGGAACGGUCAGCUGAUACUGAUCUGCUAGAGUGCGGAAGGGGCAAUCGGAAUUCUUGGUGUAGCGGUGAAAUGCGUAGAUAUCAAGAGGAACACCUGAGGUGAAGACGGGUUGCUGGGCCGACACUGACGCUGAGUGCGCGAAAGCCAGGGGAGCAAACGGG
This 254-nucleotide ribosomal RNA is filed under the name uncultured bacterium. RNAcentral describes it as "partial 16S ribosomal RNA". It matches the Rfam family "Bacterial small subunit ribosomal RNA", at positions 524 to 776 of the family's 1533-position model. The record is from RNAcentral.